GACGAACGCUGGCGGCGUGCCUAAUACAUGCAAGUAGAACGCUGAAGGAGGAGCUUGCUUCUCUGGAUGAGUUGCGAACGGGUGAGUAACGCGUAGGUAACCUGCCUGGUAGCGGGGGAUAACUAUUGGAAACGAUAGCUAAUACCGCAUAAGAGUAGAUGUUGCAUGACAUUUGCUUAAAAGGUGCAAUUGCAUCACUACCAGAUGGACCUGCGUUGUAUUAGCUAGUUGGUGAGGUAACGGCUCACCAAGGCGACGAUACAUAGCCGACCUGAGAGGGUGAUCGGCCACACUGGGACUGAGACACGGCCCAGACUCCUACGGGAGGCAGCAGGAGGGAAACUUCGGGAAGGGACGGAAGUCUGACCGAGCAACGCCGCGGGAGUGAAGAAGGUUGUCGGAUCGUAAAGCUCGGUUGUAAGAGAAGAACGAGUGUGAGAGUGGAAAGUUCACACUGUGACGGUAUCUUACCAGAAAGGGACGGCUAACUACGUG
RNAcentral lists this ribosomal RNA (495 nucleotides) under uncultured bacterium. RNAcentral's name for it is "partial 16S ribosomal RNA". It matches the Rfam family "Bacterial small subunit ribosomal RNA", at positions 28 to 507 of the family's 1533-position model. The record is from RNAcentral.